RNAcentral lists this long non-coding RNA (228 nucleotides) under Elaeis guineensis (African oil palm). Its description in RNAcentral is "long non-coding RNA (EGUI_LNC043911)". Lineage: Eukaryota; Viridiplantae; Streptophyta; Magnoliopsida; Arecales; Arecaceae. The record is from RNAcentral.
AACUGUUCACGACCAAAUGAUAUGCUGUUAAUAAGGACGACAGCUUCUAUCGAGCAUAGGUCGCUGUAGGCCAUGUGGGUUGGUUGUCCUCUUAACCAAGGAGUGUGGAGAUAUUGGUAUGGCAUACAGUUGAGAUGUAAGGGUACAUCAUUGAACGUGACCAACUCCAGAGCAUUCUGCUGUCGAGAAUGUCUCUGAUGGGAUAUAGGUAAGUGUCUCUUAGACCUG